CGUCCGCCGGACUCGGAAUGCGGCGAGACUUUGCGAGGGGCCUCGGGGUGCCAAAAAUAAGCCGCGGGCAAAGCCGCGCCCACAAAUAAGCGCCCGAAGGUCGUGGUGCCAAAACGCCCCAGCGGAAAAAUGGCCAAAAAACGGGUCGUGGUUCAAAAAUAUAAUCAAAACGUGAGAAAAACGCAAAAUUGUGGGUUGAGAAAGCCCACCAAGCUCCUUGGUGGCGAGCUUCCCUCGAGCAUGGGCAGCCUUUUACCACUUCUUCUAAGUUUUCAAAGUUCCGGUUUCUCCAUUUUCAUUUUUUUGAAGCCAAAACAUAGUUUCCCAUGUUCGCCAUCCCAUGUUCUGCAUCCGCGCAAAAAAUCUAGGCUUUCCAAACAAGUCCGACGCUUAUCAUCUCAGUCCAUCUCCCCAUGCUCUGUGUCGGUGCAAAAAAUCUAACCCAAAAAAACUCGAUUGCUUAUCCCCUACCCGUUGCCCUUUCCCGCAGUUCAUUAGGGGCUACCUGCGCGGGAAGUUGCCUUAAUAUUUGAAAAUAAGAUACAAAGAUUUAGCUGCAGCUUGAACCCUUUACAUGGUGGUCAAAAUCACAAAUAAAGUUUCAAACCCACCGUUGAGCCACCAUGAAUUCUUGUAACUAUUUGCACAAAUAUUAUUUAAAUCGAAAAGUAAAAUAUAAAUUAAUAAUAAAACAAAUAAUUAAUGAUUUCACAUCGUAAAUGGAUAUUUAAGUUGUUGUUUUCUGUGGUCGAAUCAAAAUUAAAACGUCUUAGGGUAAAAAAACCCCCGAGCGGAAAAAUGGCCAAAAAACGGGUGGGCUAUAGCCUUGGUGGGGGGCGCGGGCGACGUUCGUCCGCCGGACUCGGAAUGCGGCGGACUUUGCGAGGGGCCUCGGGGUGCCAAAAAUAAGCCGCGGGCAAAGCCGCGCCCAAACAUAAGCGCCCGAAGGUCGUGGUGCCAAAACCCCCGAGCGGAAAAAUGGCCAAAAAACGGGUGGGCUAUAGCCUUGGUGGGGGGCGCGGGCGACGUUCGUCCGCCGGACUCGGAAUGCGGCGAGACUUUGCGAGGGGCCUCGGGGUGCCAAAAAUAAGCCGCGGGCAAAGCCGCGCCCAGAAAUAAGCGCCCGAAGGACGUGGUGCCAAAACCCCCCAGCGGAAAAUGGCCAAAAAACGGGUGGGCUAUAGCCUUGGUGGGGGGCGCGGGCGAAGUUCGUCCGCCGGACUCGGAAUGCGGCGAGACUUUGCGAGGGGCCUCGGGGUGCCAAAAAUAAGCCGCGGGCAAAGCCGCGCCAAAAAAUAAGCGCCCGAAGGUCGUGGUGCCAAAACCCCCCAGCGGAAAAAUGGCCAAAAAACGGGUGGGCUAUAGCCUUGGUGGGGGGCGCGGGCGAAGUUCGUCCGCCGGAUUCGGAAUGCGGCGAGACUUUGCGAGGGGCCUCGGGGUGCCAAAAAUAAGCCGCGGGCAAAGCCGCGCCCAAAAAUAAGCGCCCGAAGGUCGUGGUGCCAAAACCCCCCAGCGGAAAAAUGGCCAAAAAACGGGUGGGCUAUAGCCUUGGUGGGGGGCGCGGGCGACGUUCGUCCGCCGGACUCGGAAUGCGGCGAGACUUUGCGAGGGGCCUCGGGGUGCCAAAAAUAAGCCGCGGGCAAAGCCGCGCCCAAAAAUAAGCGCCCGAAGGUCGUGGUGCCAAAACCCCCCAGCGGAAAAAUGGCCAAAAAACGGGUGGGCUAUAGCCUUGGUGGGGGGCGCGGGCGAAGUUCGUCCGCCGGACUCGGAAUGCGGCGAGACUUUGCGAGGGGCCUCCGGGUGCCAAAAAUAAGCCGCGGGCAAAGCAGCGCCCAAAAAUAAGUGCCCGAAGGUCGUGGUGCCAAAACCCCCCAGCGGAAAAAUGGACAAAAAACGGGUGGGCUAUAGCCUUGGUGGGGGGCGCGGGCGAAGUUCGUCCGCCGGACUCGGAAUGCGGCGAGACUUUGCGAGGGGCCUCGGGGUGCCAAAAAUAAGCCGCGGACAAAGCCGCGCCCAGAAAUAAGCGCCCGAAGGUCGUGGUGCCAAAACCCCCCAGCGGAAAAAUGGCCAAAAAACGGGUGGGCUAUAGCCUUGGUGGGGGGCGCGGGCGAAGUUCGUCCGCCGGACUCGGAAUGGGGCGAGACUUUGCGAGGGGCCUCGGGGUGCCAAAAAUAAGCCGCGGGCAAAGCCGCGCCCAAACAUAAGCGCCCGAAGGUCGUGGUGCCAAAACCCCCCAGCGGAAAAAAGGCCAAAAAACGGGUGGGCUAUAGCCUUGGUGGGGGGCGCGGGCGACGUUCGUCCGCCGGACUCGGAAUGCGGCGAGACUUUGCGAGGGGCCUCGGGGUGCCAAAAAUAAGCCGCGGACAAAGCCGCGCCCAGAAAUAAGCGCCCGAAGGUCGUGGUGCCAAAACCCCCCAGCGGAAAAAUGGCCAAAAAACGGGUGGGCUAUAGCCUUGGUGGGGGGCGCGGGCGAAGUUCGUCCGCCGGACUCGGAAUGGGGCGAGACUUUGCGAGGGGCCUCGGGGUGCCAAAAAUAAGCCGCGGGCAAAGCCGCGCCCAAACAUAAGCGCCCGAAGGUCGUGGUGCCAAAACCCCCCAGCGGAAAAAAGGCCAAAAAACGGGUGGGCUAUAGCCUUGGUGGGGGGCGCGGGCGACGUUCGUCCGCCGGACUCGGAAUGCGGCGAGACUUUGCGAGGGGCCUCGGGGUGCCAAAAAUAAGCCGCGGGCAAAGCCGCGCCCAGAAAUAAGCGCCCGAAGGUCGUGGUGCCAAAACCCCCCAGCGGAAAAAUGGCCAAAAAACGGGUGGGCUAUAGCCUUGGUGGGGGGCGCGGGCGAAGUUCGUCCGCCGGACUCGGAAUGGGGCGAGACUUUGCGAGGGGCCUCGGGGUGCCAAAAAUAAGCCGCGGGCAAAGCCGCGCCCAGAAAUAAGCGCCCGAAGGUCGUGGUGCCAAAACCCCCCAGCGGAAAAAUGGCCAAAAAACGGGUGGGCUAUAGCCUUGGUGGGGGGCGCGGGCGAAGUUCGUCCGCCGGACUCGGAAUGCGGCGAGACUUUGCGAGGGGCCUCGGGGUGCCAAAAAUAAGCCGCGGGCAAAGCCGCGCCCAGAAAUAAGCGCCCGAAGGUCGUGGUGCCAAAACCCCCCAGCGGAAAAAUGGCCAAAAAACGGGUGGGCUAUAGCCUUGGUGGGGGGCGCGGGCGAAGUUCGUCCGCCGGACUCGGAAUGGGGCGAGACUUUGCGAGGGGCCUCGGGGUGCCAAAAAUAAGCCGCGGGCAAAGCCGCGCCCAGAAAUAAGCGCCCGAAGGUCGUGGUGCCAAAACCCCCCAGCGGAAAAAUGGCCAAAAAACGGGUGGGCUAUAGCCUUGGUGGGGGGCGCGGGCGAAGUUCGUCCGCCGGACUCGGAAUGCGGCGAGACUUUGCGAGGGGCCUCGGGGUGCCAAAAAUAAGCCGCGGCCAAAGCCGCGCCCAGAAAUAAGCGCCCGAAGGUCGUGGUGCCAAAACCCCCCAGCGGAAAAAUGGCCAAAAAACGGGUGGGCUAUAGCCUUGGUGGGGGGCGCGGGCGACGUUCGUCCGCCGGACUCGGAAUGCGGCGAGACUUUGCGAGGGGCCUCGGGGUGCCAAAAAUAAGCCGCGGGCAAAGCCGCGCCCAAAAAUAAGCGCCCGAAGGUC
Molecule: long non-coding RNA, 3665 nt
Filed under: Citrus x clementina
Lineage: Eukaryota; Viridiplantae; Streptophyta; Magnoliopsida; Sapindales; Rutaceae
Description: Citrus clementina (C. clementina) long non-coding RNA (CCLE_LNC000650)
Source: RNAcentral